RNAcentral lists this ribosomal RNA (581 nucleotides) under uncultured bacterium. RNAcentral's name for it is "bacterial SSU rRNA". It matches the Rfam family "Bacterial small subunit ribosomal RNA", at positions 331 to 903 of the family's 1533-position model. The record is from RNAcentral.
CCAGACUCCUACGGGAGGCAGCAGUGGGGAAUCUUCCGCAAUGGACGAAAGUCUGACGGAGCAACGCCGCGUGAGUGAUGACGGCCUUCGGGUUGUAAAGCUCUGUUAAUCGGGACGAAAGGCCUUCUUGCGAAUAGUGAGAAGGAUUGACGGUACCGGAAUAGAAAGCCACGGCUAACUACGUGCCAGCAGCCGCGGUAAUACGUAGGUGGCAAGCGUUGUCCGGAAUUAUUGGGCGUAAAGCGCGCGCAGGCGGAUAGGUCAGUCUGUCUUAAAAGUUCGGGGCUUAACCCCGUGAUGGGAUGGAAACUGCCAAUCUAGAGUAUCGGAGAGGAAAGUGGAAUUCCUAGUGUAGCGGUGAAAUGCGUAGAUAUUAGGAAGAACACCAGUGGCGAAGGCGACUUUCUGGACGAAAACUGACGCUGAGGCGCGAAAGCCAGGGGAGCGAACGGGAUUAGAUACCCCGGUAGUCCUGGCCGUAAACGAUGGGUACUAGGUGUAGGAGGUAUCGACCCCUUCUGUGCCGGAGUUAACGCAAUAAGUACCCCGCCUGGGGAGUACGACCGCAAGGUUGAAACUCA